Molecule: non-coding RNA, 103 nt
Organism: Arthromyces matolae
Lineage: Eukaryota; Fungi; Basidiomycota; Agaricomycetes; Agaricales; Lyophyllaceae
Source: the annotation of a GenBank genome assembly
GGCGCUAUAGCCAAGUGGUUACGGCGACAGAUUAGAAUUCGCAUUCGAGUCUCCUUUCAUCUGUUCCUCUUUGAGGGCGCAGGUUCAAAUCCUGCUGGCGUCG